UUCUCCUACUUCAUACUUUAACUUCUACAUUUCAGUGGCACAUAUUAUAAUAAUUAAUAAAGGUGAUUAUUAUUAUUUUUCUGUCUUAACAGUUUGAAGUUGGAGUGUGAUAAACUGGCCUCUGAGAAGUCAGAGAUGCAGCGGCACUAUAUCAUGUACUACGAAAUGUCCUAUGGGCUGAACAUUGAAAUGCACAAACAGGCAGAAAUAGUGAAGAGACUGAAUGGGAUUUGUGCUCAGGUGCUGCCUUACCUGUCUCAGGAG
This is a long non-coding RNA of Monopterus albus (swamp eel), 264 nucleotides long. RefSeq lists it as uncharacterized. NCBI's taxonomy places the organism in Eukaryota, Metazoa, Chordata, Actinopteri, Synbranchiformes, Synbranchidae. The record is from RefSeq and is a predicted model, not a curated record. The transcript has 3 exons.